CCUACGGGUGGCUGCAGUGAGGAAUAUUGGUCAAUGGGCGCGAGCCUGAACCAGCCAAGUAGCGUGAAGGAUGACUGCCCUACGGGUUGUAAACUUCUUUUAUAAAGGAAUAAAGUGAGGCACGUGUGCCUUUUUGUAUGUACUUUAUGAAUAAGCAUCGGCUAACUCCGUGCAAGCAGCCGCGGUAAUACGGAGGAUCGGUGCUUUAUCCGGUUUUGUUGGGUUUAAAGGGAGCGUGGAUGGGUUGUUAAGUCAGUUGUUAAGGUUUGGGGCUCAACCUUAAAAUAGCAAUUGAUACUGGCAGCCUUGAGUACAGUUGAGGUAGGCGGAAUUCGUGGUGUAGCGGUGAAAUGCUUAGAUAUCACGAAGAACUCCGAUUGCGAAGGCAGCCUACUAAACUGCCACUGACAUUGAUGCUCGAAAGUGUGGGUAUCAAACAGGAUUAGAUACCCCUGUAGUC
RNAcentral lists this ribosomal RNA (460 nucleotides) under uncultured bacterium. Its description in RNAcentral is "partial 16S ribosomal RNA". It matches the Rfam family "Bacterial small subunit ribosomal RNA", at positions 338 to 795 of the family's 1533-position model. The record is from RNAcentral.